This 218-nucleotide long non-coding RNA is filed under the name Nicotiana benthamiana. Its description in RNAcentral is "long non-coding RNA (NBEN_LNC038110)". The record is from RNAcentral. Lineage: Eukaryota; Viridiplantae; Streptophyta; Magnoliopsida; Solanales; Solanaceae.
GCUUAUGUCUCCAUAUGGUUGUUAAUAUGGUAGUUACUGUUUGUUAUUAUUGCAUUAUUGCAUGCGACUGUAUUUAUGUUGCUUAUGUUUUCAUGAGUUCUUACAUUAUUAUUGCAGGAGUACCUAUAGUUUAUUAUUUUGUUUUGUCUUGCUUGUGUUUCUAAUUUUACCUUUGUUUUCGUAAUGCAGAUUUCCCUCUUUUUAUCCGACACGCCGAG